RNAcentral lists this ribosomal RNA (430 nucleotides) under Bacteroidota bacterium. RNAcentral describes it as "Bacteroidetes bacterium partial 16S ribosomal RNA". It matches the Rfam family "Bacterial small subunit ribosomal RNA", at positions 355 to 776 of the family's 1533-position model. The record is from RNAcentral. Lineage: Bacteria; Pseudomonadati; Bacteroidota.
UAGGGAAUCUUCGGCAAUGGGGGGAACCCUGACCGAGCAACGCCGCGUGAGUGAAGAAGGUUUUCGGAUCGUAAAGCUCUGUUGUUAAGGAAGAACGAGUGUGAGAAUGGAAAGUUCAUGCUGUGACGGUACUUAACCAGAAAGGGACGGCUAACUACGUGCCAGCAGCCGCGGUAAUACGUAGGGCGCAAGCGUUAUCCGGAAUUAUUGGGCGUAAAGAGCUUGUAGGCGGUUCGUCGCGUCUGGUGUGAAAGCCCAUCGCUUAACGGUGGGUUUGCGCCGGGUACGGGCGGGCUAGAGUGCAGUAGGGGAGACUGGAAUUCUCGGUGUAACGGUGGAAUGUGUAGAUAUCGGGAAGAACACCAAUGGCGAAGGCAGGUCUCUGGGCUGUUACUGACGCUGAGAAGCGAAAGCGUGGGGAGCGAACAGG